AACGCGAAGAACCUUACCCAGGUUUGACAUCCUUGGAAUUUCUGCGAAAGCAGAGAGUGCUUUAUUGAGCCAAGUGACAGGUGAUGCAUGGCCGUCGUCAGCUCGUGUCGUGAGAUGUUUGGUUAAGUCCAUUAACGAGCGCAACCCUUGUGAUUAGUUGGAUUUUUCUAAUCAGACUGCCCUGGUAACAGGGAGGAAGGAGGGGAUGAUGUCAGGUCCGUAUUUCCCUUACAUCUGGGGCUACAAACACGCUACAAUGGCCGGUACAAAGGGCAGCCAAGUCGCAAGACGGAGCAAAUCCCACCAAAGCCGGUCCCAGUUCGGAUAGCAGGCUGAAACUCGCCUGCUUGAAGUCGGAAUCGCUAGUAACGGUAGGUCAGCUAUACUACCGUGAAUACGUUCCCGGGCCUUGUACACACCGAUAGC
RNAcentral lists this ribosomal RNA (426 nucleotides) under uncultured bacterium. RNAcentral describes it as "bacterial SSU rRNA". It matches the Rfam family "Bacterial small subunit ribosomal RNA", at positions 958 to 1397 of the family's 1533-position model. The record is from RNAcentral.